GAUGAACGCUGGCGGCGUGCCUAAUACAUGCAAGUCGAGCGAACAGACGAGGAGCUUGCUCCUCUGACGUUAGCGGCGGACGGGUGAGUAACACGUGGAUAACCUACCUAUAAGACUGGGAUAACUUCGGGAAACCGGAGCUAAUACCGGAUAAUAUAUUGAACCGCAUGGUUCAAUAGUGAAAGACGGUUUUGCUGUCACUUAUAGAUGGAUCCGCGCCGCAUUAGCUAGUUGGUAAGGUAACGGCUUACCAAGGCAACGAUGCGUAGCCGACCUGAGAGGGGGAACGGCCACACGGGAAGUGAGACCGGGUCCAGACUCCUAGGGGAGGCAGCAGGGGGGAAUCUUCCACAAUGGGCGAACGUGAGACGGAGCAACGCCGCGUGGGUGAUGAAGGUCUCCGGAUCUUAAAACUCUGUUAUUAGGGAAGAACAAAUGUGGAAGAAACUGUGCACAUCUUGACGGUACCUAAUCAGAAAGCCCCGGCUAACUACGUG
Molecule: ribosomal RNA, 497 nt
Filed under: uncultured bacterium
Lineage: Bacteria
Description: partial 16S ribosomal RNA
Rfam family: Bacterial small subunit ribosomal RNA
Source: RNAcentral